RNAcentral lists this ribosomal RNA (492 nucleotides) under uncultured bacterium. RNAcentral describes it as "partial 16S ribosomal RNA". It matches the Rfam family "Bacterial small subunit ribosomal RNA", at positions 28 to 507 of the family's 1533-position model. The record is from RNAcentral.
GAUGAACGCUGGCUACAGGCUUAACACAUGCAAGUCGAGGGGAAACGGCAUUGAGUGCUUGCACUGAAUGGACGUCGACCGGCGCACGGGUGAGUAACGCGUAUCCAACCUUCCCGUUACUGCGGGAUAACCUGCCGAAAGGCAGACUAAUACCGCAUGUUCUUCGAUGACGGCAUCAGAUACCAAGCAAAGAUCCGUCGGUAACGGAGGGGGAUGCGUCUGUUUAGCUACUUGGCGGGGCGACGGGCCACCAAGGCGACGAUCAGUAGGGGUGAGGAGAGGAAGGUCCCCCACAUUGGAACUGGGACACGGUCCACACUCCUACGGGACGCAGCAGUGAGGAAUAUUGGUCAAUGGGAGGAAGCCUGAACCAGCCAAGUAGCGUGCAGGAUGACGGCCCUACGGAUUGUAAACUGCUUUUAUGAGGGGAUAGAGUGAGGGGCGCGUCCCUUUUUGCAGGUACCGCAUGAAUAAGGACCGGCUAAUUCCGUG